CCUACGGGAGGCUGCAGUGAGGAAUAUUGGUCAAUGGGCGCGAGCCUGAACCAGCCAAGUCGCGUGAGGGAAGACGGUCCUAUGGAUUGUAAACCUCUUUUGUCGGGGAGCAAAAGACGCCACGCGUGGCGUUCCGAGAGUACCCGAAGAAAAAGCCCCGGCUAACUACGUGCCAGCAGCCGCGGUAAUACGUAGGGGGCAAGCGUUAUCCGGAUUUACUGGGUGUAAAGGGAGCGUAGACGGCGCUGCAAGUCCGGAGUGAAAGCCCAUGGCUUAACCAUGGUACUGCUCGGGAAACUGUGGAGCUUGAGUGCGGGAGGGGCAGGCGGAAUUCCUAGUGUAGCGGUGAAAUGCGUAGAUAUUAGGAGGAACACCAGUGGCGAAGGCGGCUUACUGGACUGUAACUGACGUUGAGGCUCGAAAGCGUGGGGAGCAAACAGGAUUAGAUACCCUGGUAGUC
Molecule: ribosomal RNA, 460 nt
Filed under: uncultured bacterium
Lineage: Bacteria
Description: partial 16S ribosomal RNA
Rfam family: Bacterial small subunit ribosomal RNA
Source: RNAcentral